This 351-nucleotide unclassified non-coding RNA is filed under the name soil metagenome. RNAcentral's name for it is "partial contains 5.8S ribosomal RNA, internal transcribed spacer 2, and large subunit ribosomal RNA". The stretch from base 1 to 120 matches the Rfam family "5.8S ribosomal RNA", at positions 35 to 154 of the family's 154-position model. The record is from RNAcentral.
GAUGAAGAACGUAGCGAAAUGCGAUAAGUAGUGUGAAUUGCAGAAUUCAGUGAAUCAUCGAAUCUUUGAACGCACAUUGCGCCUCCUGGUAUUCCGGGAGGCAUGCCUGUUCGAGCGUCAUUAAAAUCACUCAAGCUUAGGUUUGCCUAUUGCUUGGUCUUGAAGAUGGAAGCUAAGUAAUUAGAAUCCUCUUCGAAAUCCAAUGGCGAAGACCCUUGCUCUCCCAAGUGUAGUAAUAACUUAUUCACUGAAGGAAGCGAGUAAUCUUCCGCCGUAACCCCCAUAUUUUCUAUGAUUGACCUCGGAUCAGGUAGGGAUACCCGCUGAACUUAAGCAUAUCAUAGCGGAGGA